UACAGAGGGUGCAAGCGUUGUCCGGAAUUACUGGGCGUAAAGGGCGCGUAGGCGGCUUGAUAAGUCGGAGGUGAAAUCCCACGGCUCAACCGUGAAACUGCCUUCUAGACUGUCAGGCUUGAGCACGGUAGAGGCAGAUGGAAUUCCCGGUGUAGCGGUGGAAUGCGUAGAGAUCGGGAAGAACACCAGUGGCGAAGGCGGUCUGCUGGGCCGUUGCUGACGCUGAGGCGCGACAGCGUGGGGAGCAAACAGG
Molecule: ribosomal RNA, 253 nt
Filed under: uncultured bacterium
Lineage: Bacteria
Description: partial 16S ribosomal RNA
Rfam family: Bacterial small subunit ribosomal RNA
Source: RNAcentral